RNAcentral lists this unclassified non-coding RNA (263 nucleotides) under plant metagenome. Its description in RNAcentral is "partial contains small subunit ribosomal RNA, internal transcribed spacer 1, and 5.8S ribosomal RNA". The record is from RNAcentral.
UUUCCGUAGGUGAACCUGCGGAAGGAUCAUUAUUGUAUAACCGAGGUGCGAGGGCUGUCGCUGACCCGAAAGGUCGUGCACGCCCGAGUGCCCUCACACACAUCCAUCUCACCCCUAUGUGCACCACCGCGUGGGUCACCCUUUGGCUUGUUCGGAGGGGGGCUUACGUUUUCACACAAACUUUGUAUGCAGUGUAGAAUGUAUCUUUUGUUUUUGCGAUCACGCAAUCAAUACAACUUUCAACAACGGAUCUCUUGGCUCUC